Molecule: ribosomal RNA, 472 nt
Filed under: uncultured bacterium
Lineage: Bacteria
Description: partial 16S ribosomal RNA
Rfam family: Bacterial small subunit ribosomal RNA
Source: RNAcentral
GACGAACGCUGGCGGCGUGCUUAACACAUGCAAGUCGAACGCUGAAGCUUGGUGCUUGCACUGGGUGGAUGAGUGGCGAACGGGUGAGUAAUACGUGAGUAGCCUGCCCUUGACUCUGGGAUAAGCCUGGGAAACUGGGUCUAAUACUGGAUACGACAUGUCACCGCAUGGUGGUGUGUGGAAAGGGUUUUACUGGUUUUGGAUGGGCUCACGGCCUAUCAGCUUGUUGGUGGGGUAAUGGCUCACCAAGGCGACGACGGGUAGCCGGCCUGAGAGGGUGACCGGCCACACUGGGACUGAGACACGGCCCAGACUCCUACGGGAGGCAGCAGUGGGGAAUAUUGCACAAUGGGCGGAAGCCUGAUGCAGCGACGCCGCGUGAGGGAUGACGGCCUUCGGGUUGUAAACCUCUUUCAGCACGGAAGAAGCGAAAGUGACGGUACGUGCAGAAGAAGCGCCGGCUAACUACGUG